This 1427-nucleotide ribosomal RNA is filed under the name Pediococcus acidilactici. Its description in RNAcentral is "bacterial SSU rRNA". It matches the Rfam family "Bacterial small subunit ribosomal RNA". The record is from RNAcentral. Lineage: Bacteria; Bacillati; Bacillota; Bacilli; Lactobacillales; Lactobacillaceae.
GUUAAUUGAUUAUGACGUGCUUGCACUGAAUGAGAUUUUAACACGAAGUGAGUGGCGGACGGGUGAGUAACACGUGGGUAACCUGCCCAGAAGCAGGGGAUAACACCUGGAAACAGAUGCUAAUACCGUAUAACAGAGAAAACCGCCUGGUUUUCUUUUAAAAGAUGGCUCUGCUAUCACUUCUGGAUGGACCCGCGGCGCAUUAGCUAGUUGGUGAGGUAACGGCUCACCAAGGCGAUGAUGCGUAGCCGACCUGAGAGGGUAAUCGGCCACAUUGGGACUGAGACACGGCCCAGACUCCUACGGGAGGCAGCAGUAGGGAAUCUUCCACAAUGGACGCAAGUCUGAUGGAGCAACGCCGCGUGAGUGAAGAAGGGUUUCGGCUCGUAAAGCUCUGUUGUUAAAGAAGAACGUGGGUGAGAGUAACUGUUCACCCAGUGACGGUAUUUAACCAGAAAGCCACGGCUAACUACGUGCCAGCAGCCGCGGUAAUACGUAGGUGGCAAGCGUUAUCCGGAUUUAUUGGGCGUAAAGCGAGCGCAGGCGGUCUUUUAAGUCUAAUGUGAAAGCCUUCGGCUCAACCGAAGAAGUGCAUUGGAAACUGGGAGACUUGAGUGCAGAAGAGGACAGUGGAACUCCAUGUGUAGCGGUGAAAUGCGUAGAUAUAUGGAAGAACACCAGUGGCGAAGGCGGCUGUCUGGUCUGUAACUGACGCUGAGGCUCGAAAGCAUGGGUAGCGAACAGGAUUAGAUACCCUGGUAGUCCAUGCCGUAAACGAUGAUUACUAAGUGUUGGAGGGUUUCCGCCCUUCAGUGCUGCAGCUAACGCAUUAAGUAAUCCGCCUGGGGAGUACGACCGCAAGGUUGAAACUCAAAAGAAUUGACGGGGGCCCGCACAAGCGGUGGAGCAUGUGGUUUAAUUCGAAGCUACGCGAAGAACCUUACCAGGUCUUGACAUCUUCUGCCAACCUAAGAGAUUAGGCGUUCCCUUCGGGGACAGAAUGACAGGUGGUGCAUGGUUGUCGUCAGCUCGUGUCGUGAGAUGUUGGGUUAAGUCCCGCAACGAGCGCAACCCUUAUUACUAGUUGCCAGCAUUCAGUUGGGCACUCUAGUGAGACUGCCGGUGACAAACCGGAGGAAGGUGGGGACGACGUCAAAUCAUCAUGCCCCUUAUGACCUGGGCUACACACGUGCUACAAUGGAUGGUACAACGAGUCGCGAAACCGCGAGGUUUAGCUAAUCUCUUAAAACCAUUCUCAGUUCGGACUGUAGGCUGCAACUCGCCUACACGAAGUCGGAAUCGCUAGUAAUCGCGGAUCAGCAUGCCGCGGUGAAUACGUUCCCGGGCCUUGUACACACCGCCCGUCACACCAUGAGAGUUUGUAACACCCAAAGCCGGUGGGGUAACCUUUUAGGAGCUAGCCGUCU